Malus domestica (apple) is the source of this 1700-nucleotide long non-coding RNA. RefSeq lists it as uncharacterized. Lineage: Eukaryota; Viridiplantae; Streptophyta; Magnoliopsida; Rosales; Rosaceae. The record is from RefSeq and is a predicted model, not a curated record.
ACACAUACUUCCAUCUCUGUUAUGUUAGCAUAAAUCUGUGUGGUUUUUCGUUUUUAUGUUCUUAGUUCACGAAUCUUUACUAGUUUCUCUUUUUUAUUUUAUUAAAUUUCAUGUAGGGUUGGAUGUUUGUGAAUUGUUUGGAUGAGAAUUAAUGUGAGCUGAAGAAAUUUUUGUUAUGCACUAUUUAUAUGAGAUUCUGAGAAAAUUAGGUGUUAGUCUGAAGGCAUAUAUAAGGAGAUCUGUAUUACCAGGCAUGUUUGACAUUAAAAUCCUGACCUAUUUUAUAGGGCUUAUGGAGUUUGGAUUACAGUGGAAAAUCUGAAUAUCUUCAUUCAGCUUUUAGAGAAACUUUUGCAAGAAUUUUCAUCUUUGGUCUCAUUUUAUUUGUUUGUUUGAUUCUCUGGGAGAGGCGUAAAGAUUUCUUCUGAUAACAAGGAGAGAUGACUAGUGAAAGGAUUGUCUUUACUAGUGCAUGGGCCAUGAAUUAGACAUUUUUAGUUGGCUUAAAAUUUACUCUACUUUUGUGCCACUGGGAGUAUAUGAAAGUGAGAGCAAUUGCAUACAAGUCAAGUUAUAACGUGCACCCAAUGAAUUUCCAUAGUUGUUCUUAUAAGCAGCUAAUCUGAAAAUUUUGUGUCCUUUCAUACUUUGGACUUUCUAUAUGGCAGGAGGGUUAACUAGCAUGCAUCUUGAAUGCAUUUGGAUUCAUAUACCAACUUCCCGCCCACCCCUCCUUUUAAAGUGAAUAAAAAACACUCACAACUCUGUUCAUUCACAGGAAAAUACUACUUGUUAACUAUGAUGGCUUUGUAAUUAAGCCUUGCGACCAUGGCUUUACAACUAAGCCUUGCUAUAUCUCACGUGACAAGUGAUGAAAGAGUCUGGUUUGUGGUUAUGUUCGAAGUCGUAUCCUCUGUUUGGUUUUGUUUCUGCAUUUUUUUAUUUCCUUUUACCUUCCUCGGACCACCUUGUUUGAAUGGCUUUAGAGAUAGGCAGGAAGAAAUUCCACAUGUCCUGUCAAUGCCCAACCAUGAUAUUACAAUGUGAAUGUUUUGUACCGUGUGGGGUUGAUGCUGAACUGCAAUAUUCUGUGGUUGUUGGUUGCAAAGAAGAGGAGCAUAAACGGAAGUGGCCAAUGCUAAGAACCCAAGGGAAAACAAGUAACAAACGACUGAAAACCCUCAAGUCUAGAAGAAGUACAAGAACAUGUUUACUUGAUAAGGGAUGUCAUUCGAAUAGAAAGAAUAACAUGGUGGGAAGGUGAAAAUUGUGGGAAGGUGAAGAAGUCAGCCAAAGGUUGUUGCUUGCUCCUCUUGUUGCUGUUCAUGGACUGAAAAAUCUGCUCUAGCUCCUUCACAAAGUUUAUGGCACCCCCAACAAUUGAUGCUUUGUCCCCCUGUAACAAAUAUUUAUAACAAUAUUAAUUUGGUCCAAUCCCCAAAAAAAAUUCUGUUUAAAAGAACAUAUGGGUAGAAAUCCAUGUGAGUUCUUUGGGUUAAUCUCCCAAAAACAUUUCAAUCUAAAGAAAAUGGAGUUGCAAGGGACUUCUAGUUGUACUGCCUCCGUUAAUAGUGGUUAAGCCAGUUUACCCUCACAUUCGAGGUUCUUUGUUUGUGUAUCUCCCUCCCGUAAUAUGACUUUUGUAAAAGAAAAACAAAAAUAAAAACAUAUGUAGCUCGAUGAAAUUUUUUGGCCAUUUU